This is a non-coding RNA of Mastomys coucha (southern multimammate mouse), 439 nucleotides long. NCBI's taxonomy places the organism in Eukaryota, Metazoa, Chordata, Mammalia, Rodentia, Muridae. The record is from the annotation of a RefSeq genome assembly.
GAGGAGUCCAGCCCUGGAUCCCCAGGUCUCCCACUGAGUGAUCAGCACUGAACAUAGACCCCUCACCAUGUAUUUCGGGCUCUGCUUGGUUUUCCUUGUCCUUAUUUUAAAAGGUGUCCAGUGUGAGGUGAAGUUGGUGGAAUCUGGUGGAGGCUUAGUGCAGCCUGGAAGGUCCCUGAAACUUUCCUGUGCAGCCUCUGGAUUCACUUUCAGUGACUAUGGGAUGAACUGGGUCCACCAAGCUCCAGAUAAGGGGCUAGAGUGGGUUGCAUACAUUAGUCGUGCUGGUAAUGACAUCUACUAUGCAGAACCCAUGAAGAGCCGAUUCACCAUCUCCAGAGACAAUGCCAAGAACACCUUGUACCUGCAAAUGAGCAGUCUGAGAUCGGAGGACAUGGCCCUUUAUUUCUGUGCAAGAGAUACACAAUGAGUGAAUGUU